Non-coding RNA from Pelobates cultripes (western spadefoot toad), 254 nucleotides. The record is from the annotation of a GenBank genome assembly. NCBI's taxonomy places the organism in Eukaryota, Metazoa, Chordata, Amphibia, Anura, Pelobatidae.
CCAGCUCCUGUUUGCCUGGGCCUUUAGUCUUCACAGCUUGAGGUGAUGGAUGUCGAGGCGAUCCUGUCGUCCCUCAGGGCUGCUGCAGCGUGGAUGGUGGCCGGCACCUGUGGAGGCAAUUUACCAGCAUUACUGAAGGUAUGGCUGCCGGUGUGGGCACCCCCCGUGGCCUACCCUCCCCCUGGAGCACCCCCUGCGGUCUCCCCUGCUGCCUCCCAUGCGGUCCCUGCCCCUGGGGGCCGCACCCGCCUGCC